AUGUACAAAUUAAUAGUAAAUGAUGCUGCAAGAACAAGACCCGACUUGGUCCGUGAUGAAACGAGGGUGGCUUGCUCCGCAAACAUGAUCGUUAACAACGAGCCCUCUCCCCAGCCAGGCCUAUCAGACGCACAGAACCCAACCUCAACGAAUCACCAGAUCGAAAGAAACAAUUCGGAAUCUGCAGAUACAAGCUUUCGAGUACAGGUACGAGAAAUCGAUAUGAGCAACCAUGAAAAUAUCAACAUUGAGGUUAUCGUGGCUGAUGACCGAAUCCCUCUUGAAGACUACUUGGACAGCCAGCUCUCACACCAGCUCUUUGUGGACCUCGCAGAAAACGAUGGGUCACUUUCGGCGUUACCGGAAGCACCCACCUCAACUUCCCAGAACAACCCGUUUUACGGUCAGUACCCUCUCAGUGCGUACUUCCAGGACGUGGAGAUGCCUGAACUGGAGGCUCCUUACAUGGCGAGUUCCGAGGGGUUUUCCGGUGACGUAGCCUGGGACAACCAACCGGAAACGAGGGGGCCGCCGGCGAGCGUCCUCGGCGACGGAUGGAACACACCGGAAACAGGAAACGGCCGGGUGUCCCGGAUGUCCCAUCGGACCUGGGACAUCCUGCUCUCGGUCAACCCCGCAACAGGUUCCGGUGAUACUCCUCCUGGCGCCAGAGCCCCGCUAAGAUUCGAAGCCUCCACUUCCGGUGUGACGGUUCGACCGGAAAUGAGGCGCAGCUACUCUCCGAGGACGUUGUACGACGCGUGGAACGCUCCACCGGAAAGGGGGCCGCCGCUUCGCGAGGCCGCGUCACUAUCCGUUCAACCGGAAACGGAAACCAUGCGAGAGGCCGGCACUCUGUACGAUGUGUGGAACAUCGCCCCUGAAAAUGGCUCUCGAGUGCCUACUUCCGGGAACCGAGACGAGCUGAGUUCGGAUGCUCUUUUUAUCCGCUCAAGCUCUGCAGAGCCCACUCGAAGCAAUCCCAUUUCCGGUGAAAUUUCGACCACGUCGGAGAUUCUGGCCGGUGCUCUGGCCACUCUCAAUGAGCCUUAUGGGGAAUUAGUUCCGGUUCUCAGAGCAACGACUUCCAGCUCGAUGUCUAGUUCCGAUACAACGACCGUUAACGCCGAUGUUACUUCCGGUGCAGUUACUGACGGGCAGUUUCUUCCGGUGCAGCAAUCUCCGGUAAAGUCACUCCUGAGGCAGCCACUUCCGGUGCAGCUUUUACCAGUACUCUUACCACUCUGA
RNAcentral lists this long non-coding RNA (1248 nucleotides) under Bemisia tabaci. RNAcentral's name for it is "lncRNA ENSASIAIIG003810". Lineage: Eukaryota; Metazoa; Arthropoda; Insecta; Hemiptera; Aleyrodidae. The record is from RNAcentral.